Molecule: non-coding RNA, 85 nt
Organism: Triticum aestivum (bread wheat)
Lineage: Eukaryota; Viridiplantae; Streptophyta; Magnoliopsida; Poales; Poaceae
Source: Rfam
GAAUCCAUGGCUGAAUUGUGAAAGCACCCAGCAACCCAGAAAGGCAAAAUGGGUCAAAAAGUAGGUUCGAUUCCUGCCGGAUGCA